This 487-nucleotide ribosomal RNA is filed under the name Pseudomonas sp. BF.88. RNAcentral's name for it is "bacterial SSU rRNA". It matches the Rfam family "Bacterial small subunit ribosomal RNA", at positions 18 to 500 of the family's 1533-position model. The record is from RNAcentral. Lineage: Bacteria; Pseudomonadati; Pseudomonadota; Gammaproteobacteria; Pseudomonadales; Pseudomonadaceae.
CCCUGCUCAGAUUGAACGCUGGCGGCAGGCCUAACACAUGCAAGUCGAGCGGUAGAGAGAAGCUUGCUUCUCUUGAGAGCGGCGGACGGGUGAGUAAUACCUAGGAAUCUGCCUGAUAGUGGGGGAUAACGUUCGGAAACGGACGCUAAUACCGCAUACGUCCUACGGGAGAAAGCAGGGGACCUUCGGGCCUUGCGCUAUCAGAUGAGCCUAGGUCGGAUUAGCUAGUUGGUGAGGUAAUGGCUCACCAAGGCUACGAUCCGUAACUGGUCUGAGAGGAUGAUCAGUCACACUGGAACUGAGACACGGUCCAGACUCCUACGGGAGGCAGCAGUGGGGAAUAUUGGACAAUGGGCGAAAGCCUGAUCCAGCCAUGCCGCGUGUGUGAAGAAGGUCUUCGGAUUGUAAAGCACUUUAAGUUGGGAGGAAGGGCAUUAACCUAAUACGUURGUGUCUUGACGUUACCGACAGAAUAAGCACCGGCUAA